AAGUAUCUUAUCUUUCUUUAUAUUAUUUUUGUUUCCCUGCUCAUUUUCUCUUAUUAGUUGGUGCUUUUGUUGAAAUUUGUCAAUUGUUCAAAUUUCUCAUGAGUUAGACGUAACAGUUUUGAGGUCCGUGACCUGAAAGAAGGAAUAAGUUUUGCACAUAUGAGGUGUUGAUGUUCGUAGGAAAUGGCUCACUGAUUAAACGAUUUAAACUGUUAGCAAUACUAUUAGGAUGCGUUUGGCAUCCAGCAUUACACAGCAUUACCAUCCCGUAUAGCAUUAAAUUAAUACAACCCUAAAAACUGACUUCGUAUUAUACGGUAUACCGCAUAACAUUACUGUUGUUAUACAGUUAAAGCCGCAUUAACUAAACCCGUGCGGGUAUCGGGUUUACGCGUGAUUGCUUAUAAAGAAAGGGAAAAAAAAAAAGAGUAAUAGUUUUUCUUCUUCAGAACACGAUUGAGCCACAGAACACGUCUUCUCUUUGCUUCCAUUCUCUUCUCAAAACCCAAUCUAUCGCCGACACCGGCUCAGCCAUAACAUUUAUCACCGACACUGGCACGGCAGCAGCCACUUUGAGUACUCGAUGCUGUCAAUGCCGUCAAGUUCUCCCGCGCGGCACCCCUACUCCACCAUCUCUAUGCCGCGAGUCCGCAGCCACUGCACGAUAUCACAACAAAUUCAUAUUAGCAUUUUUGCCUUUAUCCAUAACUUGAGUGUUUUAAAUUAUAAAAGCCAUUUUUUUUAAAAAGAUAAAAAAGAAAAAUCAGACCCCUGUGACAGUGUUACUUAUUCUUUUUUGCUUAUUUUCUUCUUCGGAAGAAAAGGAUUUAAAGGGAGGAAAAAGGAUUUAUCGACAAAAUAAAUAAAUAAAUAAAUGAAGGAUGCAAAGAACCGAAAAAAAAUAAUUGUGGAAUGAUAACAAGGGGAGAAAAAAGAAACAGAGGAAGGAAAGAACAGAGAAGAAAUUAAAGAGGGUUGAAGGUUGAAGGUUGAAGGUUGAAGAUUGAAGAUUUUGUCCUGUUAAAGAGGGAGAUAAAGAGAUAAGGAUGACGUGUCAAUGCAUAGACACAACUUUGUGUUUAUUAUUUUAUAAUUUUAUUUUACCAAUUUUUUUAUAGAAUUUAUUUUACCGUUUGUUUUAUUAAAUAAGCAAAAUAUAUAUUAAUUGUUUUGUCAUUCAUUCCUAUUAAAUGUAUGUUUUAUUAUUUAUUUAUAUUGUGAUAACUUUUUAAAAGUUAUUUGAUUAAAUUAUUUGAUUCGAUUGUUAUUUCAAAGUUUAUUUAAUUUGGAAAAUGCUAAAAAAGAAAAUAUUAUGUCACC
This 1320-nucleotide long non-coding RNA is filed under the name Citrus sinensis (sweet orange). Its description in RNAcentral is "long non-coding RNA (CSIN_LNC002402)". Lineage: Eukaryota; Viridiplantae; Streptophyta; Magnoliopsida; Sapindales; Rutaceae. The record is from RNAcentral.